Molecule: ribosomal RNA, 322 nt
Filed under: uncultured bacterium
Lineage: Bacteria
Description: bacterial SSU rRNA
Rfam family: Bacterial small subunit ribosomal RNA
Source: RNAcentral
GAUGAACGCUGGCGGCGUGCUUAACACAUGCAAGUCGAACGAAGCGCUUAAGCUGAUUUCUUCGGAUUGAUUCUUGAGUGACUGAGUGGCGGACGGGUGAGUAACGCGUAUGUAAUCUGCCUGUAACAGAGGGAUAACCCGGAGAAAUCCGGACUAAUACCUCAUAAUACACAGGAUUCGCAUGAGUUCUAUGUUAAAGGGAAUCGGUUACAGAUGAACAUGCGUUCCAUUAGUUGGUUGGCGGGUAACGGCCCACCAAGGCUACGAUGGAUAGGGGUUCUGAGAGGAAGGUCCCCCACACUGGUACUGAGACACGGACCAG